Molecule: small RNA, 117 nt
Filed under: Pseudomonas fluorescens Q2-87
Lineage: Bacteria; Pseudomonadati; Pseudomonadota; Gammaproteobacteria; Pseudomonadales; Pseudomonadaceae
Description: sRNA P9
Rfam family: Pseudomonas sRNA P9 (bases 44-117)
About the family: P9 appears to be conserved in several Pseudomonas species in addition to Bordetella spp. In both Pseudomonas and Bordetella spp P9 appears to be located upstream of a predicted threonine dehydratase gene.
Source: RNAcentral
CUAACGUCCAGCCAUGACUUUGACCGUAUUGCGUAGCCAGCCAAGCAUUAUUACCGCCAUUCCUUAUCUGGCGGGCUAGCUGACGACUGCACCCAACCCGCCCUCGAGGCGGGUUUU